UCUCUGAGUUCCCAGAUCCCAUACCAGGGGUUCCCUGAGUUCCCAGAUCCCAUUCCCAGGAUCCCCCAGGGAUCCCCCAGCCUGGCAUUCCCAAGGAAAAGCCGGGAAUCCACCCGGGAUCCACCACUGGCAAAUCCCAUGGGAACACAUCCGGGUCCCGCCAGGAUCCAGCGGGAAUCCUGGCGCCCCAAAGGCCGGAACUGGGGGAAUUUUGGGAUUUGGGAAAAAAGUGGGAGAUGGAGACAGGGAGAGCUCCCGGGAUUGCCAACCAUAAAAAUCGUGGGAGCAAAGGAAAAAUUCCCAGUGCCCCUCCCUGGGCUAGGGUGGAAAAUUUGGGAUGUCCAGGGAUGGCUCCCAGAGAAUUCCUAAAUUCCCAAACAUUAAAAAAAAAAAACACCUCAAAAAUUCCUGGUCCCCCCCCCCCGGGUCAGGGGGGGAAAUUUGGGGGGGGGGGGGGGGGGGGGGGGGGGGGGGGGGGGGGGGGCCCCCCCGGGUCAGGGGGGGAAAUUUGGGAUGUCCAGGGAUGGCUCCCAGGGAAUUCCAAGAUUCCCAGCCAUGAAAAAGGAAAAAUUCCCUGUACUGCCAUUCCGAGGGAGAGAGGGGAAAUUUGGGAUGCUCCACAAAUGGCUACUAAAUUCUCAAACAUUAAAAAAAAAACCCGAAAAAUUCCUGGUGCCCCUCCCUGGGUCAGGGGGGAAAAUUUGGAAUGUCCAGGGAUGGCUCCCAGAUCCCAAGGAAUUUCCAUCCAUAAAAACCCCUGGGAUGUCUCUUCCCACACUUCCCAAAUUUCCCUGGGGCUGGAGGUGUCUGAGCCCCCUCAUUCCCAAAAUCCCAAAGCUCAGCAUUCCCAAAAUCCCAAAGCUCAGCAUUCCCAAAAUCCCAGAGCUCAGCAUUCCCAAAAUCCCAGAGCUCAGCAUUCCUACCGUUUCCCCCUGGAUCCAUCCCAACCCUAAAUCCCUGAUAUCCCAAUCCUGGAUCCAUCACAUGCCAGUACCUGGAUCCAUCACAUCCCAGUACUGGAUCCCUGAUAUCCCGACCCCAGAUAUCCCGAUCCCGGAUCCCUCACAUGCCAGUACUGGAUCCCUGAUAUCCCGAUGCCGGAUAUCCCGAUCCCGGAUCCCUCACAUCCCGAUCCUGGAUCCAUCACAUCCCGAUCCCGGAUCCCUGACACCCCGAUCCCGGGCCCCUCAUAUCCCGAAUUCCUCAUAUCCCAAUCCCAGAUCCAGCGCCCCCUGCCUGCGGAUCUGGCGGAUUCUGAUCCCGGAUCCGGCGCUCCAGCACUGGAUCCAGCGGAUGGUGCAGGGCUCCCUGGCGUAUUUGGAGCCCGGGUCGGGCACGCCCCAAUUGCGGUGCCCCAACAACCAGGUGCCGGCUGGCACCGCCGCGUUCCAGAGCUCGGCCUCCACCUCGUUCCAGGGCCGCGGCCGGAGCCGCAUCCCGCGCAGCCGGGACAGCUCGUUCUCCUCGCUCCCCUCGUCGGGACGCUCCGCGCGGGGCCACUCCCAGCACACUUCCAGGGGCAGCUCGGGAACGCAGAGCAGCGGCUGCAGCUCCCCGUCCUCGACCCACUGGGACCUGCUGGCGGCCAGGAUCAGCGGCAGCGCCUCGGCCCAGCCCUGCCGGGCCGCCUGCGCCGCCCUGAACACGCCCGCGGCCGCCGCCUGCGGCUGCCCGCGCCGGGGGGGGGGGGGGGGGGGGGGGGGGGGGGGGGGGGGGGGGGGGGGGGGGGGGGGGGGGGGGGGGGGGGGGGCGGCUCCAGAAACCCCGCAGCGGCGGCUCCUGCAGGGAAUCCCACAUCCACUCGGGCGCUGGCGCCAGCAGCACGGUCUCGACCUUCCCGAAACGCCCGAAAACUUCUUGGAGCAGCGUUUUGGUCACCUCCGGCGCGGAGCGCUGGCGCAGCGGGAAGGCGUCGAGCCAGCCCGAGAGCGCGUCCUGAGCCACCAGCAGCGCCUGGAAGCCCUCGGGAGUGCCGGGAAGGGCCUGGGAGAGGCUGAUCCGCAGGCAGGACCAGGGGCCCUGCGCCCGCUGCGGGGCGUCGGGGUCGGCGUCGCGGUUGGCAACGGGGUUGCUCUCCCUGCACGUGGGGCAGUUCUGCACCCACUGGGUCACGGCAUCCCCCUUGUCGCUUCCGUAGAAUUCCACUUUCCGCAUCCUGGCCGCGGUCUCCUUCACGCCCUCGUGCUGGCGGUGGCAGCGGGCCAGCGCUUCCUGCUGCUCGUACUUGGACGGUUUCCACAUUAUCCAGCUGCUAGUGGUGAUCUCGGGCAAGACUGCAACCGAGUUGCUCAGGUCCUGAAUCCACUCCCUCUCCAGCGGGUCCGCGGCCGGUCCCACCUCGCGGAUGUGGAGCGUUCCCGGGAAGGCUCGGAGCCAGCGCAGCACGAUGCGCCGGGUGUCGCCGCCGGAAUCGCCGCCCUGCUCCGGCCGCUCCAGCCGCGCCGCCAGCCCCGGGCAGUUGCAGUAGAGCAGCAGCGGGGAGCGGCUCCCGUGCUGCUCCAGCAGCUCCCGCAGCGCCUCCAGCUCCACCUCGGGCACCGAGCUGUUCCCGGCCACCGCCGCCAUCCGCCGGCCCUCCAGGCAGGCCAGCCCGAAGCCGACGGACGUGUCCCGGCGCGCCGCCUUCUGCACGGCCAGGAACCACACGUUGGCUCUGGGGAAGUCGAGGGGCAGCUCCCCGAGCGGCGGAGCCAGCCCGAGGGGGGGGGGGGGGGGGGGGGGGGGGGGGGGGGGGGGGGGGGGGGGGGGGGGGGGGGGGGGGGGGGGGGGGGGGGGGGGGGGGGGGGGG
RNAcentral lists this long non-coding RNA (2788 nucleotides) under Ficedula albicollis (Collared flycatcher). RNAcentral describes it as "lncRNA (ENSFALG00000023028.1)". The record is from RNAcentral. Lineage: Eukaryota; Metazoa; Chordata; Aves; Passeriformes; Muscicapidae.